ACAUUUUCUUUGCAUUGUUUGCUCACCCUCUCCUUGUUUUCCGUCUUCAGAUGCUGUGAACGGAGUUGUUUUGUCCCUGCCGUCUCUGCCGCUGGAAGGUGGGAACGUGUCUCUGAGUUGCAGCUGGUCUGCGGGUUCAGAGGUCAGUGUGGUUUGGGGUAAAGGAGGCACUGCGCUUUCCUCUGACAGCCGCAUUACUAUCAGCGCUGGAUCUCUGCUCAUUAAACAGGCCAGGAGAGACGAUGCAGGAGAAUACACAUGCACCGUCAGCAACGCCGUCAGCGCUCAAACCGCCAAGACCACCCUCAGCGUCUACUAUGGUCCAGAUGCCCCACAGUUGACUAAGACCUCAAGUGAGUGUGUUGGCGGGGGAGAUGCUACGGUGGGACAGACGGUGCGUCUCACCUGUACGUCUGCCUCUCUACCUCCUGCCUCCUUCUCAUGGGAACUUAACGGCCAGCCGGUGACCACCAGCCAAUCAGGGAGUGGUGUGCUGAGUCUGCAGAUCUUCUCCUCCAAUCAGAGUGGCCGUUACACCUGCAUUGCACGGAAUGACAUCACAGGAGGGACAUCGAAGCAGCAGAUAGACAUGGCCAUUGUGGGUACGUGUCUCAGCGGAGGUGCCGUAGCAGGGAUCGUUGUUGCCUGUGUUGUUGCACUCAUCAUAAUUAUUGUUGUAAUUAUUUUGCUUCUGCGACAAAGAAACGUUGAUCGGAGACUCAGAGAUACUGUUGGACUUCAGAAGACAAACCAGAAUGAAGGAACCACAAUUGCAAACAGAGCUCUUGUCAAUGAAAACCACCGUGAUCCCACAUUACACAACUCACUCCCACAAAACUUCACUGCCGUUCCCAAUAACAACAAUGGGAACAUAAACACAAUGUCACAAAACAUGCCCAGCAACUCCAACCCACUCCAUCAUAAUGGCCAUCUGCACACCGAUGCAUUCCAACGCAACUUCAGCACAGUCCCAGACAAUGGGCAUCAAAACAAUUCAUAUCCAAACAAUGACCCUCAGAGGUCGUUCCCACAGCCUGUCCAACACAAUCCCAAUAUUCUCAUACAAACGGGCAGUUCUCAGCCUGGUGCGCUUGCCCAUACAGUUCAUGUAAACCUCAACACCUUGCCACGUACCGACCAGUUUAAUAAUUCACAACCUCAAACGGUGCAUGUCAACUUGAACACAUACCCUCCAGAAGCAAAUCAGGUGGUCCAGCAACAUGCAGACCAUGGAGAAAGUGCACUACAGAGUCAACAUACUAAUGCCAACCAUCAAAAUAAUUCUCAGACUGGCUUGCUGAACUCUGACCCUUUGAGAUUGGGUAAUCAAACACAAACAAUGCUCAAUAAUGCUUCAUCAAAUGGUUCUCGUCAGCCCAACAGCCUCAUUCAGACUGGAUACUCGCACCCUACCAACCAAACCAAUGCAAACCGCCAAACUGCCAACUCAAGAUCAUCAGCAGAAGAGCGAAGUCGACGUUCAAACCCCCUUCAGACCAACAACCAGUUCAAUGACUCCAGAGCACACCUCCAACAGAUGCCUUUGGACCGUUUGCAGGGAACGCCGGCGUAUCCCAACCCCGAAGUCUAUAGUUCAGACAGUAGUGUAUCUUCAGAUUGGCCACAACGAGAUGCACGGAGGGAUCGUUCUGGUCUGAGAUAUCGGGAAACUGAACCUUUGGGAAGGUUGACCCAAGCUGCUCCUCCCCAAAGAAGAGACCUCCAGAGACCAAUCGUGCUCAACGACUCUCAAUUGGACCCAAAUGUGCAGAGGCAAGUGGUCCAACAGAACUUAAGCACCCAACCGCAAGUCCAAUCUCAAAUCCAGACCGCAAUACCUCAAACCCAAACCUCUCAGGGUCAGACUCCAAUCCCCAUUGGUCUACCAAGGGGAACGAUCAUACCUGAAACACAAACUGGCACCAGACCAAAUCAGACCGUGCCUCAGCCAUCCAUUCCUCUCACUGAGGCUGCACUACGCCAACACACCGCCCAGACCAAUAACCCUUUCACCAACUGGAUCCAGCAGUCUCAAGCUGCCUUGCAGAACCCUGGACCUUCUCAACCCAUCCAGCAGCUUAACAAAGUGGGGCAGAUGCCUCCUACUCCACCUCCGGUGCUGCGGCCGGACGAGUUCCAGAAGCUUCCGCAUGAACGCAUGCAGCAGCCGCGCACCAUCCAGCCUGUGACCGUGCAACGUAGACACAGAUCUCCAAACGUGCACAAGCAGACUCGAGUGUUGCAUACGAGCCCUCAGCGAAUGCCAGGAGUGCAUCCCAUGCAUGCAACCAUGCAUGGACACCCAACACACAUGCGACAGGUCCACAGAGGCAGACCCAGACGUUGAGAAAAUGCAGUGCUCGUCUGGCUCGACGCUAUUUGCACUGCGAAAAACUUUCGUACACAGCACAAUGUCUCUCUGUGGUGGAAAGAAACAAACGCUCAGCCAUUCCUCCGGCCCUCGGCUUAUUGUGCCGUACAAAUCUUUGUGUUUUGUCGGAGAGACCGCAUUAUUGAUAAAAAGACUGAUCUUUUUGUUUCUCCUGCACAGCUGUCGUAGGCAUGUGAAAGCCACAGCUGUUGAACAGGACACUGUGUGAAUUUCAUCCGUCGGAACAAUGAUGCUUUGGGAUUUUUCUUGUGCUCAAGUGUCUGAAAAUAAAACACAAUGCAGUGUUUUUGCACAGACAGGAAGACUUGAACAAAAUCCAAAUGAAUUAGGAUGGCUGGCAGAGCUUGAACUACUAAAUGAUAAAGAAUGGACUGCCACUGUUUGUCCUCUUGCAACUAUUUAUUCAGCUUUCUGCUCACAGAUGCUUCUUGUAGCGCCGCUCAAUUAGUGUGAUCCGCUACGGUGCAUUUGCGGAUGGAUUACGCAUUUGAGUAUGAAGGAGACCCACCUAACGAACGUGUACUUAAUGAAGCUCUUUAAUUUUUAUGUUAAUGAUGUGGAAAAUGCUAAUGAGUUUAAGUAAAAUAGGUUGUUGACAGGCCUUGCAAAAAUAUGAUGAAAAGCAAAUGUUUGGUCAGAUGGUAUACUUUGAGGUUUUUACAAAUAAAUUCUC
RNAcentral lists this long non-coding RNA (3065 nucleotides) under Sinocyclocheilus anshuiensis. RNAcentral describes it as "lncRNA (ENSSANG00000041870.1)". Lineage: Eukaryota; Metazoa; Chordata; Actinopteri; Cypriniformes; Cyprinidae. The record is from RNAcentral.